RNAcentral lists this ribosomal RNA (508 nucleotides) under uncultured beta proteobacterium. RNAcentral describes it as "bacterial SSU rRNA". It matches the Rfam family "Bacterial small subunit ribosomal RNA", at positions 38 to 541 of the family's 1533-position model. Lineage: Bacteria; Pseudomonadati; Pseudomonadota; Betaproteobacteria. The record is from RNAcentral.
GGCGGCAUGCCUUACACAUGCAAGUCGAACGGUAACAGGGAGCUUGCUCCGCUGACGAGUGGCGAACGGGUGAGUAAUAUAUCGGAACGUACCUUUGAGUGGGGGAUAACUAGUCGAAAGAUUAGCUAAUACCGCAUACGAUCUACGGAUGAAAGUGGGGGAUCGCAAGACCUCAUGCUCAUAGAGCGGCCGAUAUCUGAUUAGCUAGUUGGUGAGGUAAAGGCUCACCAAGGCUUCGAUCAGUAGCUGGUCUGAGAGGACGACCAGCCACACUGGGACUGAGACACGGCCCAGACUCCUACGGGAGGCAGCAGUGGGGAAUUUUGGACAAUGGGGGCAACCCUGAUCCAGCAAUGCCGCGUGAGUGAAGAAGGCCUUCGGGUUGUAAAGCUCUUUUGUCAGGGAAGAAACGGGAUGUCCUAAUACGAUGUCCUAAUGACGGUACCUGAAGAAUAAGCACCGGCUAACUACGUGCCAGCAGCCGCGGUAAUACGUAGGGUGCAAGCGU